UACAGAGGUCUCAAGCGUUGUUCGGAUUCAUUGGGCGUAAAGGGUGUGUAGGUGGCGCGCUAAGUCGGGUGUGAAAUUUCGGAGCUUAACUCCGAAACUGCAUUCGAUACUGGCGUGCUUGAGGACUGGAGAGGAGACUGGAAUUCAUGGUGUAGCAGUGAAAUGCGUAGAGAUCAUGAGGAAGACCAGUGGCGAAGGCGGGUCUCUGGACAGUUCCUGACACUGAGGCGCGAAAGCCAGGGGAGCAAACGGG
RNAcentral lists this ribosomal RNA (253 nucleotides) under uncultured bacterium. Its description in RNAcentral is "partial 16S ribosomal RNA". It matches the Rfam family "Bacterial small subunit ribosomal RNA", at positions 524 to 776 of the family's 1533-position model. The record is from RNAcentral.